UCCCUGGUAAUCCAUUGGUUAAGACUCUGUGCUGACAAUGCAGGGGGCCUGGAUUCAAUUCCUGGUCAGGGAA
RNAcentral lists this transfer RNA (73 nucleotides) under Bos taurus (domestic cattle). It matches the Rfam family "tRNA". Rfam says of the family: Transfer RNA (tRNA) molecules are approximately 80 nucleotides in length. The record is from Rfam by way of RNAcentral. RNAcentral also lists the same sequence under 2 other names. Lineage: Eukaryota; Metazoa; Chordata; Mammalia; Artiodactyla; Bovidae.